Molecule: ribosomal RNA, 420 nt
Filed under: uncultured bacterium
Lineage: Bacteria
Description: bacterial SSU rRNA
Rfam family: Bacterial small subunit ribosomal RNA
Source: RNAcentral
AAGGAAUAUUGGUCAAUGGACGCAAGUCUGAACCAGCCAUGCCGCGUGAAGGAUGAAGGUCCUCUGGAUUGUAAACUUCUUUUAUCUGGGACGAAAACGGGAUUUUUAUCUCAAUUGACGGUACCAGAGGAAUAAGCACCGGCUAACUCCGUGCCAGCAGCCGCGGUAAUACGGAGGGUGCGAGCGUUAUCCGGAUUUACUGGGUUUAAAGGGUGCGUAGGUGGGCUUAUAAGUCAGUGGUGAAAUCUCCGAGCUUAACUUGGAAACUGCCGUUGNUACGAUAGGUCUUGAAUUAUCUGGAGGUAAGCGGAAUAUGUCAUGUAGCGGUGAAAUGCUUAGAUAUGACAUAGAACACCAAUUGCGAAGGCAGCUUACUACAUAUAAAUUGACGCUGAGGCACGAAAGCGUGGGGAUCAAACA